UACGGAGGGUGCAAGCGUUAAUCGGAAUUACUGGGCGUAAAGCGCGCGUAGGCGGCUUGUUAAGUCGAAUGUGAAAUCCCCGGGCUCAACCUGGGAACUGCAUCCGAUACUGGCUGGCUAGAGUGUGGUAGAGGGAAGUGGAAUUCCAGGUGUAGCGGUGAAAUGCGUAGAUAUAAGAAGGAACACCAAUGGCGUAGGCAGGUUACUGGACCAUUUCUGACACUGAGGCACGAAAGCGUGGGGAGCGAACCGGAUUAGAAACCCCGGUAGU
Molecule: ribosomal RNA, 271 nt
Filed under: uncultured bacterium
Lineage: Bacteria
Description: partial 16S ribosomal RNA
Rfam family: Bacterial small subunit ribosomal RNA
Source: RNAcentral